UACGGAGGGUGCAAGCGUUAUCCGGAUUCACUGGGUUUAAAGGGUGCGUAGGUGGAUUAGUAAGUCAGUGGUGAAAUCUCCGGGCUUAACCCGGAAACUGCCAUUGAUACUAUUAGUCUUGAAUACCGUGGAGGUCAGCGGAAUAUGUCAUGUAGCGGUGAAAUGCUUAGAUAUGACAUAGAACACCAAUUGCGAAGGCAGCUGGCUACACGAAUAUUGACACUCAGGCACGAAAGCAUGGGGAUCAAACAGG
This 253-nucleotide ribosomal RNA is filed under the name uncultured bacterium. RNAcentral's name for it is "partial 16S ribosomal RNA". It matches the Rfam family "Bacterial small subunit ribosomal RNA", at positions 524 to 776 of the family's 1533-position model. The record is from RNAcentral.